AAUAAAUGUAGCCACUUUUUCCAGCUAAAAAACAUCUCUUUCUGUGGGUACCAUCCAAAGAACAACAAGUGAGUACAAGGGGCAGACACGAGAGUCUCACUGGUAGUCUUCAGACACGGUGGGUGGGUAGGACUCCGAAUCUUGUCUCACAGAUGCCUGCCUUCCACAGGUACUUUGGGUUUAUCACUAAGCACCCUGCUGACCACCGGUUUGCCUGCCAUGUCUUUGUGUCUGAAGAUUCCACCAAAGCCCUGGCAGAGUCUGUGGGGUACGUGUGUGUGUGUAAGUGUGUGUGUAAGUGUGCUGUCCUAUCUGUGCUCAGUGUCAGCAUCACCCCUUCCCUCUAGUUCUGGAAACCCCAAUCCGG
RNAcentral lists this long non-coding RNA (367 nucleotides) under Rattus norvegicus (Norway rat). RNAcentral's name for it is "long non-coding RNA NONRATT019471". Lineage: Eukaryota; Metazoa; Chordata; Mammalia; Rodentia; Muridae. The record is from RNAcentral.